This is a long non-coding RNA of Nothobranchius furzeri (turquoise killifish), 317 nucleotides long. RefSeq lists it as uncharacterized. NCBI's taxonomy places the organism in Eukaryota, Metazoa, Chordata, Actinopteri, Cyprinodontiformes, Nothobranchiidae. The record is from RefSeq and is a predicted model, not a curated record.
UUGUCCGUCAUUGUUGUUUUUUGAUGACCUCUGCCUUCCCUUCAUCAGGAAUUCUCACCACGAACCUUUCCUGCAAUAACCUGGUUUUUCAUCUCCAAGCCUGAUCUCCCUCCUCACCCGGACCGACCCGCUCUCCCACCGCUCACCUCCCUUGGAUUCUGGAUUCACGCUGACGUUGCUCACCCCAGUCCUGGCUACCCUCCCAUGCUCUGGAUUUCAGUCCCCACAACCCAGCCCCGGAGCUGUGCUCAACAUCACCGCCACGUCUGGCGGUGCACCUUUAGUUCUCCUUAAAAUAAAACAUUUAUUUUUUCCUA